GGGGAUUUAGCUCAGUGGUAGAGCACUUGCCUAGCAAGUCCAAGGCCCUGGGUUCAGUCCCCA
Molecule: transfer RNA, 63 nt
Filed under: Rattus norvegicus (Norway rat)
Lineage: Eukaryota; Metazoa; Chordata; Mammalia; Rodentia; Muridae
Rfam family: tRNA
About the family: Transfer RNA (tRNA) molecules are approximately 80 nucleotides in length. Their secondary structure includes four short double-helical elements and three loops (D, anti-codon, and T loops).
Source: Rfam by way of RNAcentral